UCCAGUAAAUCUCUUCGUUCAACCUCUUGUCAAACUAUUCAUGCUGGACUACAUUUUCACUUCGUUACAAGCCAGUCUGAAUGAGGCGAGCAAAUAACCACAACAGAAAUAAGCCAAAUUUUGUUUAAUUUUAAAGCUAAUCUUCAGCAUCAGAAAAACUAGACCUUCCCAUUCUCCUUCAAACCACUCGGAACUAUUUUAAAGCCUUCCCCUAGAGCGUUCCACUGCGGAAAAGAUUUUGGCGAUUGGUCACUGCUGUCAUAUGAUCAACGCAGGGCAACAUGUGCCGUUGAUUUGCUUGGUGCAGAACAAUCUGGAGUAGCACUCGCGGAGGCGAAUGCUUUGUUCAAAGACAAUUUCGGGAAGUAUUAUGCUUCUCCAGUGAGGGACCAAUCCAUUCGUUCAUUGUGCAAGCUGGGUUCUGAAGUAGAGUGCAUCAAAGCCAACCUGCAGGAUAAUGGUUACCUUGUUCAAAUCAUUUCUAACUGCAUAUCAAGCAGAAUCAUAAAUGGAUGUAUGGCUGUCAAUUUUGGACUUUAAGAGUGCCCAGCUGCCUCCAAUUACCCUAGAAAGUGAAUCAUGAAUGAAGUGGAGUACAAGCCUGAGCAGAUAAUACCAUGAAGAAAAGCUCACGGGUCUUCUAUCAUCAACUACAGGACACUGGAAGAAUGUGCAGACUGCACACAGCCCGAGGGUGGAAUCGAACCCAAGAUAACCGUUGCUGCCCAGAUUAAAGAUGUGACCACGCCCAAGAUUCGGGCAUACGGAUGGAUGACUGCUAGAAUGGGCAGAGAGACUGUGCAAGAGCCCCUAUGGCUAUUCUCCUCUCUAACAAUUGUUCUGCUGAUCCUGACAUUGUCAGAAGAACAAAAAUCCACUACACAAGAAUUGUCUCCUAAUUCAAGGUCUCAAAAUCAUCCGAUAGACUUAACUACCCUGAGCACCGUACUUCUUAAACCUAGUGCUAACUCCAAAGUAAUGGAUCAUAUUAACGUGCGUAGGAUCUCAGAUACAGAUGAAAAUAUCUUGAAAUAUCUUCAGAUAGUCCGUGACAUCAAGCUGAUUGAUACCAACUUAAUUGAACCCACACCUACUAUCACUCAUUUACCGUCGUCAGUUUCACCACUGGAUAUUGCCAACAAUGAUCACAGAACAAAGGAGGCCAUAAUUUCCAUGUAUAAUCAAAAUACUUUGCAUGCAGAACGAGCACAUUUAAAGGAAAGACCAUCUCUGCCUCAUAAUUUUGAGUUAGUGGAUCCUGGACAACUUCUAGGCAAUGUAAUAUUGCAUUCCUCAUUUACAAGUAGAUUAUACCACAGAUAUUUUGAAACAAUGUCUUCAUCUAGUAACUAUCAAACUGAGCUGGUUUUGAGAACCUCUGACAUCCAUAAUACCAAGAUGUUGAAAUCUUCAAAUGAUGCAGUCACACUGAAAGAAACCAACUACCUGCAUGCCCUUAAGAAUCUUUGGCACACAGAGGAAUCAAACAUUACAGAAGAACAGGUUUCACAGAGUUCACUUCUUCCUGCCUUGCCACUUAAUCUGAUGAUUACUUCUGAGUCACAGGUUACUUCUAGUCUUCACGGUUUAUCAUUUAAAUUGCAGUCACGUUGUAACCUGGAAUUAUCUGUUGUAACAACAAGUGAUUUUUUGAAAGUUGGUGAUCAAAACCUGUCCGCUAUGAUUACAUCUUGCACUUCAAUCUCUAUGACAACGUUCAGCAUGAUGAAAAGUGAUUCUUUAUCUAAUUCUGUCAUUCUGUCAACCAUGUCUACUCCUGGAAUCUCUUCAAUCCUCUCCGAAUCCGAGACAACAGCAGCAGGAAACUCCCUGAACAGAAUAGUCCCUGCAGAAACUAGGGGCCCUGAAAUAAGCAGCAAUAUUUCCCAAGUAACUGAAGUAGAUGAGCAAGAAAAAGAUUCUAUUUGCCUCAGUAAAAUUGACAUUGCCUGGAUUAUUCUAGCUAUCAGUGUUCCUGUUUCAUCAUGCUAUGAGGUUCACACUGCUGCCCCUUCUGGAAGAAGAGUCGCUAGUACAUCUCAUUCUGCUCCAUAAACGCAUCCUGAACUGGAAGACUGCCUUGGACGCAUCCAAAACUCAGUAGCCCAUCACUUCUUGUAGGUCCUACUUAACAGUGAUCCCGACCGUUGAUCACAGGAACAGGUUUUACACGCUUUUCUGGUGUCAGAACCCUGGACUGCAAUUAUUCUUGUUUAUACCCUGUGUCCUACACAGGACUGCGAGGGUAUGCUUCUUGCCUAUUCCUUUCUACGACGUUGAUAACCUGUCAUCUCACCUCAUCUCAUCACUCAUCUCAGUAAUGCUGACUGCCUCUCUCUGGAUCCCCAACUCACCUUGUCCUAUCAAUGAUGCUAAAAUUGGACAGAAUUCGCACAGAUCUAGCAACUCAAGACUGGGUAUCCAUGAGGUGCUAUGGGCCAUCAACAGCAGCAGAAUUGUACUCCAGCACAAUCUGUAACCUCAUUGCCCGGCAUAUCCCCCACUCAACCAUUACUAUCAAGCCAGGGGAUCAACCGUGGUUCGACGAAGAGUGCCAGGAGCAGCACCAAGCAUAUCAGAAGAUGAGAUAUCAACCUGGUGAAGCCACCAAACAGGAGUACCUGCAUGCCAAACAGCAAAAGCAGCAGGUGAUAGAGCUAAGUGAUCCCACAACCAACAGAUCAGAUCUAAGCUAUACAGUCCUGUCGUGAAUGGUGAUGGACAGUUAAACAACUCACUGAAGGCAGAGGCUCCACAAAUAUCCCCAUCCUCAAUGAUGGAAGACCCCACCACAUCAGUGUAAAAAAUAAGGCUGAAAUAUUCACAACACUCUUCAGCCAGCGUGGAUGAUCCAUCUGGGCCUCUUUCAGUGGCCCCCAGCGUUACAGAUACCAGUCUUCAGCCAAUUUGAUUCACUCCACGUGAUAUCAAGGAAUGGUUGGAGACACUGGAUAUUCCAAAGGCUACAGGCCUUGACAACAUUCCAGCAAUAUUACUGAAGACUCAUGCUCCAGAACUUGCUGCUCCCCUAGACAAACUAUUCCAGUACAGUUACAACACUGGUAUCUACCCAACAAUGUGGAAAAUGGCCCAAGUACGUCCUAUACACAAAAAGCAGGACAAAUCCAACCUGACCAAUUACUGCCCCAUCAGCCUACUCUCGAUCGUCAGUAAAGUAAUGGAAAAUGUCAUCAACAGUGCUAGCAAGCAGCACCUGCUCAGCAAUAACCUGCUCAGUGACGCCCAGUUUGGGUUCUACCAGGGCCACUCAGCUCCAGAUCUCAUUACAGCCUUCGUUCAAACAUGGACAAAAGAGCUGAAUUCCAGAGGUGAGGUGACAGUGGGAGCCGUUGAUAUCAAGGCUGCAAUCAAACAAGUGUGGCAUCAAGCAGCCCUCGCAAACUGGAAUCAAUGGGUAUCAGAGGACAAACUCUCCGGUGGUUGGAAUAAGACCAGACACAGGAAGAGGUUUGAGUUUGUUGGAGAGGUCAAUCAUCUCAUCUCCAGGACAUCUCUGCUGGAGUUCCUCAGGGUAGUGUCCUAGGCCCAACCAUCUUCAGUUGCUUCAUCCAUGACCUUCCCUCCAUCGUAAGGUCAGAAGUGGGGAUAUUCACCGAUAAUUGUACCAUGAUCACAUACAACAAGAUCUGGACAAUGUCCAGACUUUGGCAGACAAGGGGCAAAAGACAUUUGCACCACACAGAUGCCAGGCCAAGACAUCACCAAUAAGAGACUAUCUAACCACUGUCUACAUUCAAGGGUGUUACCAUCACUGAAUUCCCCACUAUCAACAUCAUGGGGCUUACCAUUGAUCAGAAACUCAACUGGUCUCACCACAUUAACACAGUGGCUACAACAGCAGGCCAGAAGCUAGGAAUACUGCAGCGAGUAACUUACCUCCUGACUUCUCAAAGCCUAUCCGCCAGCUAUAAGGCACAAGCCAGGAACGUGAUGGAAUACUCCCCACUUUCCUGAAUGAGUGCAGCCUCAACAACACUCAAGAAGCUUAACACAUUCCAGGACAAAGCAGCCUGUUUGAUUGGCAUUACAUCCAGAAGCAUUUACUCCCUCCACCUACGACACUCAUUAGCAGCAAUGUGUACAAUUUACAAGAUGCAUUGCAGAAAUUCACCAAAAAUUCUCAGACUGCGCCUUCCAAAUCCACGACCACUUCCGUCUAGAAGGACAAGGGCAUCAGACAUAUGGGAACCACCACCAUUCUGACUUGGCAAUAUGUAUUCUCUGUCACUGGGUCAAAAUCCUGGAGUUCCUUCCCUGAUGGCAUUGUGGGUCACCCUACAGCAAGAGGACUGCAGCAGUUCAAGAAGGCAGCUCACCACCGAUUUCUCAAGGGCAGCUAGGGAUGGGCAAGAAAUGCUGGUCAGCCAGCGACACCCACAUCCCAUAAAUGAAUGGAAAGAAAUGCUGCCCAUAUCAAGGGAUCCUCGUGUUUCCCCUCCUUUCACUGGUGCUGAUACAUUGUCUCAGAAUCCUCACUGUUGCUCACUCGUCUUGAUGAUCCUGACUGUAUAUCGCAGGUUCCUCAUGUAGCAUGCUCCUCUGCCUCUAGGCAGGAACCUUGUUUAUCACUAAAUAAGACGAAAAGAAAUUACAACUUAUACAAAUACAUAUGAAGAAAAUACAAAUUACAGUGGUUAGCUGCUAAAUACAAAACUUCGCAUGAUUUUUGAAAGAGGUCAACCUUUAAAAAUCCCUUCACUUACCAAAUUCCUGGAUUUCAGUGCCAGCAGUUUUACUUACGGUAUGCUGUAUGCAAAAAAAAAGGAAACCAUCAAACCCUGAAAACAAUUUAAGUUAUUGGAACAACACAAUCACUAUGGAUUACUUCAACAGGCACGCUGUGGAACUCCCAAGAGAAAUCCAGUUUUUUGAAACAUCGGAGCCAUUGUGUUCUGCUGUCUUGCGGCUGAGAAGAAGAAGAAUACCUCUUCCAGGUUUUCAAAGAUAAUGGAUGUCCAAAAAACCCAAUCAGAAGAUGCCUAAUCGAACAACACCGGGAAGAUACCACACCCUCCAACACACUCAUCAUGCUACCUUAUAAUUGAAAUUCAAUUCAGGAGCAUAUCGGAACUAACCGCAAGAGUCCUACGACUGUUGGGCAUCAGAGGGGCACACAAAUCCACAUUAACCCAUGACAACUGCUCACCCAAACCAAAGACCCACUUCCCACUAUGGACUGGACCAGUGUCAUCUUUAAGAUUCCCAGCAGAGACUGUGACAAACAGGAAGAAAAUUAACAAGGGUGCACUAACACCAAUUGGCUACAAAAAGACACGCCCAAUACUCACUCAUCUCUAUCCACAUGGAUAAGAAAAACCACCAAUUCGACUGGGACAACACUAAGAUCCUGGGACAAGCAAAACAGAGACAGGCAUAGGAAUUCCUAGAAGACUGGUACUCCGCAAAGAAAGCCAUCAAUAAGCACAUAGACUUCGAUCCCACAUACAGUUCACUAUGAAGGAAAACCGGAAGUGAGGUAAUCCAGCUCAACGGACUCCAGAGUUUAAAAACCAGGUGGGAAAACACAAUGGUGUUUCAUCAGAGGCUGCACUGAUGACGUUACCCAGCAGGGUAAUGAAACGUCUGCGGAACAACAAACUAGAUCGGCGAGCCAACAACCACAACAGACAGUCAUGUGUCCACCAAUGAAUCUUGUUGUAUUGACUUGAUACUGCUAGUUCUUAU
This is an RNA transcript of Stegostoma tigrinum, 5706 nucleotides long. It is a transcript of the gene named transmembrane protein 108, with no coding region annotated. NCBI's taxonomy places the organism in Eukaryota, Metazoa, Chordata, Chondrichthyes, Orectolobiformes, Stegostomatidae. The transcript has 8 exons. The record is from RefSeq and is a predicted model, not a curated record.